UACGUAGGCAGCGAGCGUUGUUCGGAGUUACUGGGCGUAAAGGGUGCGUAGGCGGGUCUUUAAGUCAGGGGUGAAAUCCUGGAGCUCAACUCCAGAACUGCCUUUGAUACUGAAGAUCUUGAGUUCGGGAGAGGUGAGUGGAACUGCGAGUGUAGAGGUGAAAUUCGUAGAUAUUCGCAAGAACACCAGUGGCGAAGGCGGCUCACUGGACUGGUAUUGACGCUGAGGUGCGAAAGCGUGGGGAGCAAACAGG
Molecule: ribosomal RNA, 253 nt
Filed under: uncultured bacterium
Lineage: Bacteria
Description: partial 16S ribosomal RNA
Rfam family: Bacterial small subunit ribosomal RNA
Source: RNAcentral